AUCUUUUUAGUAUAAACUCAUUAUAAGUGACUUCCAAUCACUCGAUCCAGGUUAAACUCCGGGGAAAGAUA
Molecule: transfer RNA, 71 nt
Filed under: Rasbora elegans (elegant rasbora)
Lineage: Eukaryota; Metazoa; Chordata; Actinopteri; Cypriniformes; Danionidae
Also listed under: 6 other names
Description: tRNA-Gly
Rfam family: tRNA
About the family: Transfer RNA (tRNA) molecules are approximately 80 nucleotides in length. Their secondary structure includes four short double-helical elements and three loops (D, anti-codon, and T loops).
Source: RNAcentral